AUGAAGAUCUGCAUCAGCACUCUGCUUUUUACCAUCGCGAUUUUUCAGCAUUUUAGUCAGCUGAAUGCAACGGAGCCGGGAGAAGGUGUAUGUUUGGAAGAAAGGCGAAAGCGAGGACGACCGCGAGGGUCACUGACAACGCGAAUUCCAGGACAGGUUCUAGGGCGACCGCGAAAGAAACCGUUAGAUCAAGAAAUAAAUUCAACAGAGCAGAGAGAAGGUUCAUCAUUAGGAGAACGUCGAAAGAUAGGGCGACCACGAGGAGCAUGGGCAAAUCAAGUGAAAUUUCAAGUCGCA
This is a long non-coding RNA of Belonocnema kinseyi, 297 nucleotides long. RefSeq lists it as uncharacterized. Lineage: Eukaryota; Metazoa; Arthropoda; Insecta; Hymenoptera; Cynipidae. The record is from RefSeq and is a predicted model, not a curated record. The transcript is spliced from 3 exons.